This is a long non-coding RNA of Bufo bufo (common toad), 259 nucleotides long. RefSeq lists it as uncharacterized. The transcript has 3 exons. The record is from RefSeq and is a predicted model, not a curated record. Lineage: Eukaryota; Metazoa; Chordata; Amphibia; Anura; Bufonidae.
CCACUUUCACACUUGCAGCAGGACGGAUCCGACAGGCUGUUCACCCUGUUGGAUCCGUCCUUCCGCUAUUUCGCCGUGCCGCCGGACCGUCCCCAUUGACUAUAUUGGGGACGGGGCGGCGCUCCGGCGCAUUCCGGAAGUUCGCGGUCAGAGGCCGCUGGACUAAAAAGUCGGACAUGCAGGACUUUUAGUCCAGCGGCCUUUCGCCGUGCACUGCCCGGAGUCAAUGGGGACGGAGAGGCGGUCCGGCGGCACGGCG